Molecule: transfer RNA, 72 nt
Filed under: Candidatus Curtissbacteria bacterium
Lineage: Bacteria; Candidatus Curtissiibacteriota
Description: tRNA-Ile
Rfam family: tRNA
About the family: Transfer RNA (tRNA) molecules are approximately 80 nucleotides in length. Their secondary structure includes four short double-helical elements and three loops (D, anti-codon, and T loops). Further hydrogen bonds mediate the characteristic L-shaped molecular structure. tRNAs have two regions of fundamental functional importance: the anti-codon, which is responsible for specific mRNA codon recognition, and the 3' end, to which the tRNAs corresponding amino acid is attached (by aminoacyl-tRNA synthetases). tRNAs cope with the degeneracy of the genetic code in two manners: having more than one tRNA (with a specific anti-codon) for a particular amino acid; and 'wobble' base-pairing, i.e. permitting non-standard base-pairing at the 3rd anti-codon position.
Source: RNAcentral
GGGCCUGUAGCUCAGUGGUAGAGCGCCACUCUUAUAAGGUGGAUGUCGUAGGUUCGAUACCUACCAGGCCCA